RNAcentral lists this ribosomal RNA (164 nucleotides) under uncultured bacterium. Its description in RNAcentral is "partial 16S rRNA". It matches the Rfam family "Bacterial small subunit ribosomal RNA", at positions 355 to 511 of the family's 1533-position model. The record is from RNAcentral.
UAGGGAAUCUUCCACAAUGGGCGCAAGCCUGAUGGAGCAACACCGCGUGAGUGAAGAAGGGUUUCGGCUCGUAAAACUCUGUUGUUGGAGAAGAAUGUGCGUAAGAGUAACUGUUUACGCAGUGACGGUAUCCAACCAGAAAGUCACGGCUAACUACGUGCAAG